Molecule: ribosomal RNA, 458 nt
Filed under: uncultured bacterium
Lineage: Bacteria
Description: partial 16S ribosomal RNA
Rfam family: Bacterial small subunit ribosomal RNA
Source: RNAcentral
CCUACGGGCGGCAGCAGUGAGGAAUAUUGGUCAAUGGUCGGGAGACUGAACCAGCCAAGCCGCGUGAGGGAGGAAGGUACAGAGUAUCGUAAACCUCUUUUGUCAGGGAACAAAGGCGGGACGUGUCCCCGGAUGAGUGUACCUGAAGAAAAAGCAUCGGCUAACUCCGUGCCAGCGGCCGCGGUAAUACGGGGGGUGCGAGUGUUAGCCGGUUUUAUGUGUUUUAAAGGGGGCGCAGGCGGCCUGUUAAGGCAGCGGUCAAAACCCGGGGAUCAACCCCGGCCCGCCGUUGAAACUGGCAGUCUCGAGUUGGAGAGAAGUAUGCGGAAUGCGCGGUGUAGCGGUGAAAUGCAUAGAUAUCGCGCAGAACUCCGAUUGCGAAGGCAGCAUGCCGGCUCCACACUGACGCUGAGGCACGAAAGCGUGGGUAUCGAACAGGAUUAGAUACCCUAGUAGUC